RNAcentral lists this ribosomal RNA (443 nucleotides) under uncultured bacterium. Its description in RNAcentral is "partial 16S ribosomal RNA". It matches the Rfam family "Bacterial small subunit ribosomal RNA", at positions 338 to 795 of the family's 1533-position model. The record is from RNAcentral.
CCUACGGGUGGCUGCAGUGGGGAAUAUUGCACAAUGGGGGAAACCCUGAUGCAGCAACGCCGCGUGAAUGAAGAAGGGUUUCGGUUCGUAAACUUCUAUCAACAGGGACGCAAGAAAUGACGGUACCUGAAUAAGCCGCUCCGGCGAACUACGUGCCAGCAGCCGAGGUAAUACGUAGGGGGCAAGCGUUAUCCGGAAUUACUGGGUGUAAAGGGAGAGUAGGCGGCAUGGUACUACAGAUGUGAAAGCCCUGGGCUUAACCCGGGGACUGCAUUUGAAACUGUGAAGCUAGAGUACAGGAGAGGAAAGCGGAAUUCCUAGUGUAGCGGUGAAAUGCGUAGAUAUUAGGAAGAACACCAGUGGCGAAGGCGGCUUACUGGACUGAAACUGACGCUGAGGCACGAAAGCGUGGGGAGCGAACAGGAUUAGAUACCCGUGUAGUC